This 64-nucleotide small RNA is filed under the name unclassified sequences. Its description in RNAcentral is "Streptococcus sRNA SpF59 (ldcC RNA)". It matches the Rfam family "Streptococcus sRNA SpF59 (ldcC RNA)". The record is from Rfam by way of RNAcentral.
UGACCACUUUCAUUUAGAAAAAUGUGAAAGUUGAGGCCAUACGGACAGCCGGGUCAAGUGCCGA